This 253-nucleotide ribosomal RNA is filed under the name uncultured bacterium. RNAcentral describes it as "partial 16S ribosomal RNA". It matches the Rfam family "Bacterial small subunit ribosomal RNA", at positions 524 to 776 of the family's 1533-position model. The record is from RNAcentral.
UACGUAGGGCGCAAGCGUUAUCCGGAAUUAUUGGGCGUAAAGAGCUCGUAGGCGGUUUGUCGCGUCUGCCGUGAAAGUCCGGGGCUCAACUCCGGAUCUGCGGUGGGUACGGGCAGACUAGAGUGAUGUAGGGGAGACUGGAAUUCCUGGUGUAGCGGUGAAAUACGCAGAUAUCAGGAGGAACACCGAUGGCGAAGGCAGGUCUCUGGGCAUUAACUGACGCUGAGGAGCGAAAGCAUGGGGAGCGAACAGG